Molecule: ribosomal RNA, 263 nt
Filed under: uncultured archaeon
Lineage: Archaea
Description: partial 16S ribosomal RNA
Rfam family: Archaeal small subunit ribosomal RNA
Source: RNAcentral
AGACGUCUACAUUAGAUACCCGCGUAGUCCCAGCCGUAAACUAUGCGCGUUAGGUGUAUCGGUGACCACGAGUCACCGAGGUGCCGAAGGGAACCGUGAAACGUGCCGCCUGGGAAGUACGGUCGCAAGGCUGAAACUUAAAGGAAUUGGCGGGGAGCACCACAACGGGUGGAGCCUGCGGUUUAAUUGGACUCAACGCCGGGAAGCUCACCGGAUAAGACAGCGGAAUGAUUGCCGGGCUGAAGACUCUGCAUGACUAGCUG